GGAUAUGAGGAUGAUCUGGCUGUGACAUCUGUCACCCCAUUGUUCACCAGGGUUGAUCUGGCUGACCUGGCUGGCUGGCUGGAUGUUCCCAUCCUCCCUCACUAUUCCAUGUGCUUCCUUCCCAAACUGCGUGUUCUAUCAAAGAGGACAACCAACCCUGACAGAAGAGGACUUGUUUCUUAGGUCAAGGGCGUAGGAGUAGCUGCACUCCCCUGCUAGAAUCUCCAAACAUCACGGGAGAAUUUUUUUUAAAAUUUGUCUAUAUUAUUGUCUUAUUAU
RNAcentral lists this small nuclear RNA (279 nucleotides) under Chinchilla lanigera (long-tailed chinchilla). RNAcentral's name for it is "7SK RNA (ENSCLAG00000021834.1)". It matches the Rfam family "7SK RNA". From Rfam's summary of the family: 7SK was discovered as an abundant small nuclear RNA in the mid-70s but a possible function has only recently been suggested. The record is from RNAcentral. Lineage: Eukaryota; Metazoa; Chordata; Mammalia; Rodentia; Chinchillidae.